This is a long non-coding RNA of Capsicum annuum, 1423 nucleotides long. RefSeq lists it as uncharacterized. Lineage: Eukaryota; Viridiplantae; Streptophyta; Magnoliopsida; Solanales; Solanaceae. The record is from RefSeq and is a predicted model, not a curated record. The transcript is spliced from 2 exons.
UAGUGUUGACUAUCAUGCCACGUUUAGUCCGGUCAUCAAACCAACUACUGUACAUUUGGUUCUCUCUAUUACUGUCCAGCGGAAUUAGCCCCUACGCCAGCUUGAUGUUAACAACGCAUUCUUGUAAGGUCAUUUAGAAAAAGAAUUGUAACGGUCCAACCUCCAGAUUUUGUAGACGAUCAGUUUCCCUCCCACAUAUGUCAUCUAAAAAAAGCAAUAUAUGGCCUCAAGCAAGGCCCUCGGGCGUAGUACAAUGAACUUAAGACAUUUCUUCUUUAUUUGGGAUUUGUCAAGUCAGAAUCUGAUGCCUCACUCUUUAUUCACAAAGUGUCAAAAAACAUUUUGUACGCACUGUUUUAUGUAGACGAUAUCAUUAUUACAGGGAAUCACAGCGCAGAGGUAAAUCGGGUUAUUGCUCGUCUUGCUAGGCGUUUUUCCAUUAAGGAUCUUGGGAAUCUAAACUUCUUUCUUGGAGUGGAGGUGCUCCGAACUGCCAAAGGAAUCACUUUAUCACAUUCCAACUACAUCAAUGAAAUCAUCUUUGAUAAAAACAUGAAGGACUGUAAUUCAGCAAAAAAAACCAAUGAGUUCCACUGAAGUGCCUCAACUACAUGAUGGAGUGGAACCAACUGAUGCCACUUGCUACAGGAGAGUUCUUGAAAAACUACAGUACUUGUCUUUCACUCGUCCAGACAUUAGGUUCUCUGUGAAUAAAUUGUCUCAAUUUAUGCACUCUCCAUCUGAAGUGCACUGGAAAGCACUCAAAUGAGUACUUAGGUAUCUCCAAGAAACACUUUAGUUCGCUCUUCACAUUCAAAAAGGGAGCUGGUCUUCCGGGAAACAAAGAAAAAUUGCUUGCUUAUCAACUGAAGCAGAGUAUCGUGUUGUUGUAAGUGCACUGGUUAAGACCAACUGGGUGACAAAUCUGCUAAAAGAAUUACAUGUUUCAUUUCCUCAAAGAGCAACCAUUUACUAUGACAAUGUUGGUGCAACUUAUUUGUGUGCAAAUCCAGUUUUUCAUAGCCGCAUGAGCACAUUGCUGUAGACUUUCACUUUGUUUGCAAACAAGUUCAGUAGAAUCAAGUUCACAUUGUUCAUAUUCAUGUUGCAGAACAAAUCGCGGAUACUCUAACUAAAGCUCUACCAAAGCCGGCAUUUGAUAAACACCUAUUCAAGCUAGGCUUUGCUACACAUUGCCUAUCUUGAGGGGGGCCUAUUGUCGCAUACAUCCUAUCUUGGAAGAUAUCUCACGAUUGAUCUUCCUCAUCUCAGUAGAUCUUCCAUAUCUCAGUAUCUCAUAGUGAUUUAGUUUUUAUUUAGGAGAAGAUCACAAUUCUUUAUUAGUUGAUUCUAACCUUAUUUAGUUUGUAUUCUCUUGUAUAUAUACACAUACAUAUCAAUGAAAUCAAUAGAAUCUUUCAUA